GAACGAAAAUCCGUCGGUUUCACGAGACCGUGAGGGUUCGAAUCCCUCUAUCCCCAGA
Molecule: transfer RNA, 58 nt
Filed under: Tectaria fuscipes
Lineage: Eukaryota; Viridiplantae; Streptophyta; Polypodiopsida; Polypodiales; Tectariaceae
Also listed under: 1 other name
Description: partial tRNA-Leu
Source: RNAcentral